Molecule: ribosomal RNA, 893 nt
Filed under: uncultured archaeon
Lineage: Archaea
Description: bacterial SSU rRNA
Rfam family: Archaeal small subunit ribosomal RNA
Source: RNAcentral
CCCGACUGCUAUUUGGGUGAGGAUAAGCCAUGCGAGUUGAAUGGGAUACCUAAAUUUCCCAUAGCGAACUGCUCAGUAACACAUGAUCAACUUACCCUAUAGAGAAACAUAACCUCGGGAAACUGAGGAUAAUAUUUCAUAGUUGAAUAGGCUUGGAAAAGUUUUUCAAUAAAAGAGAUAAAAAAAAUGGUUUUUAUCUGCUAUAGGAUAGGAUCGUGUUCGAUUAUGGUUGUUGGUGAGGUAAUGGCUCACCAAGCCGAUAAUCGAUAGGGGCCGUGAGAGCGGGAGCCCCGAGAUGGGUACUGAGACAACGACCCAGGCCUUACGAGGCGCAGCAGGCGCGAAACCUCCGCAAUACACGAAGGUGUGACGGGGUUACCCAAAGUGUUCAUUAGAACUGUGGUAAGUGAGUAAUGUUCCCUACUAGAAAGGAGAGGGCAAGGCUGGUGCCAGCCGCCGCGGUAAAACAGCUCUUCAAGUGGUCGGGAUAAUAUUGGGCUUAAAGUGUCCGUAGCCGGUUUAGUAAGUUCCUGGUAAAAUCGGGUAGCUUAACUAUCUAUAUGCUAGGAAUACUACUAUACUAGAGGGCGGGAGAGGUCUGAGGUACUACAGGGGUAGGGGUGAAAUCUUAUAAUCCUUGUAGGACCACCAGUGGCGAAGGCGUCAGACUGGAACGCGCCUGACGGUGAGGGACGAAAGCCAGGGGAGCGAACCGGAUUAGAUACCCGGGUAGUCCUGGCCGUAAACGAUGCAUACUAGGUGAUGGUACGGCCAUGAGCCAUAUCAGUGCCGUAGGGAAACCGUUAAGUGUGCCGCCUGGGAAGUACGGUCGCAAGGCUAAAACUUAAAGGAAUUGGCGGGGGAGCACCACAAGGGGUGAAGCCUGCGGUUCA